GGAGAGGUACCGAAGCGGUCAUAACGGGGCGGUCUUGAAAACCGUUAGAGUCUCACGGCUCACGUGGGUUCGAAUCCCACCCUCUCCGCCA
Molecule: transfer RNA, 91 nt
Filed under: Paratissierella segnis
Lineage: Bacteria; Bacillati; Bacillota; Tissierellia; Tissierellales; Tissierellaceae
Description: Tissierellaceae bacterium BX21 tRNA-Ser
Rfam family: tRNA
About the family: Transfer RNA (tRNA) molecules are approximately 80 nucleotides in length. Their secondary structure includes four short double-helical elements and three loops (D, anti-codon, and T loops). Further hydrogen bonds mediate the characteristic L-shaped molecular structure. tRNAs have two regions of fundamental functional importance: the anti-codon, which is responsible for specific mRNA codon recognition, and the 3' end, to which the tRNAs corresponding amino acid is attached (by aminoacyl-tRNA synthetases). tRNAs cope with the degeneracy of the genetic code in two manners: having more than one tRNA (with a specific anti-codon) for a particular amino acid; and 'wobble' base-pairing, i.e. permitting non-standard base-pairing at the 3rd anti-codon position.
Source: RNAcentral